UACGUAGGGUGCAAGCGUUGUCCGGAAUUAUUGGGCGUAAAGAGCUCGUAGGCGGUUUGUUGCGUCGGCUGUGAAAUCCCGAGGCUCAACCUCGGGUCUGCAGUCGAUACGAGCAAACUAGAGUGUUGCAGGGGAGACUGGAAUUCCUGGUGUAGCGGUGAAAUGCGCAGAUAUCAGGAGGAACACCGGUGGCGAAGGCGGCUCUCUGGCCCGCAACUGACGCUGAGGCGCGAAAGCGUGGGGAGCAAACAGG
RNAcentral lists this ribosomal RNA (253 nucleotides) under uncultured bacterium. RNAcentral describes it as "partial 16S ribosomal RNA". It matches the Rfam family "Bacterial small subunit ribosomal RNA", at positions 524 to 776 of the family's 1533-position model. The record is from RNAcentral.